RNAcentral lists this ribosomal RNA (253 nucleotides) under uncultured bacterium. RNAcentral's name for it is "partial 16S ribosomal RNA". It matches the Rfam family "Bacterial small subunit ribosomal RNA", at positions 524 to 776 of the family's 1533-position model. The record is from RNAcentral.
UACGUAGGGGGCUAGCGUUGUCCGGAAUCAUUGGGCGUAAAGCGCGUGUAGGCGGCUCGAUAAGACCGAUGUGAAAUCCCCGGGCUUAACCUGGGAACUGCAUUGGUGACUGCAGGGCUAGAGUGUGUCAGAGGGAAGUGGAAUUCCGCGUGUAGCAGUGAAAUGCGUAGAGAUGCGGAGGAACACCGAUGGCGAAGGCAGCCUCCUGGGAUAACACUGACGCUCAGGCACGAAAGCGUGGGUAGCAAACAGG